UGGAGUUUUUAUUGCAUUAGAUGCAUGUUAUUUUGUUCCUUCUAUUAUCAAAAAUAUUAUCUCUAUUUCAUGUUUAACAGUUAGUGGAUAUAAAUUUAUUUUUGAGAACAAUGGUUGUUCGAUAUUAUUAGAUGAUAAGAUCAUCACGAAAGGAACAUUGCAUAAUGGUUUAUUUAUGUUAGACACUACUCCACAUAUCAUGAAUGUAAAU
This 211-nucleotide long non-coding RNA is filed under the name Musa acuminata (dwarf banana). RNAcentral's name for it is "long non-coding RNA (MACU_LNC002724)". The record is from RNAcentral. Lineage: Eukaryota; Viridiplantae; Streptophyta; Magnoliopsida; Zingiberales; Musaceae.